Molecule: non-coding RNA, 215 nt
Filed under: Paenibacillus macerans
Lineage: Bacteria; Bacillati; Bacillota; Bacilli; Caryophanales; Paenibacillaceae
Source: RNAcentral
CGAAAAUCAGUGCCCGUAGGUCCUUGAAGCCGGUGCGUUUGCCGCCGCGGCUUCUCGGUUAAAAGGGAAGCCGGUGCAAAUCCGGCACGGUCCCGCCACUGUAAACAGGGACGCAGCUCAUAUUGCCACUGUCAUCCGCUUAAGACGGGGGAUGGGAAGGCGAGCCGGCGUCGAAGCCUGCAAGUCAGGAGACCUGCCCACGGGAGAUUAAAGAC